RNAcentral lists this long non-coding RNA (569 nucleotides) under Chinchilla lanigera (long-tailed chinchilla). RNAcentral's name for it is "lncRNA (ENSCLAG00000028661.1)". Lineage: Eukaryota; Metazoa; Chordata; Mammalia; Rodentia; Chinchillidae. The record is from RNAcentral.
GGCUUUAGAAAAGAAAAAAUAUUUAAGAUGCCUGCAGGCUACCUCGACCUUGAACAAGGAGGUGGUGAUACUAGAGCGUCUCAUCCUUCAGUGAGUCCUGCCGAAGCUGCACAAAUCUGUUGUGAGAAUUCACAGACCUCUGCGCCUUCCCUUGGACCACAACAUCCAAGAUCCCUUAAAGUCCGUAAGUUGGCUUAGUUGCUAAGAUAAAGGGCAGAAACCUGACCUUCAGGGAGAGAAAGAGCUUAAAAAGUUUCAAGAAAUACUUGUAGGCAAAUCAUCUGAAGCCACCCAUCUUACAGUAAUACACCACUAAACCACGAUAUUCUGCUCUAGGUUUCAUGUCCAUCUCAUAACGUAAAAUGUAUUUAGUCCAUCUCUAAGAGUCAUCAAAGUUUUAACAGUUUCAGCAGCGCUGACAAGCCCAUGUCCAGUCUUUUUUGAGACUCAGGGUAAGCUCUUAGAAGUAAACGCAUCUAAAAAUAAAAAAGAAAGUUAAAUACUUUGAAUAUACAUUGUCAUUGUGCAAGUAUUUCUGUUCAAAAAGGGAUAAAUGGGGGAUAGAAGAG